This 283-nucleotide unclassified non-coding RNA is filed under the name Hevea brasiliensis (rubber tree). The record is from RNAcentral. Lineage: Eukaryota; Viridiplantae; Streptophyta; Magnoliopsida; Malpighiales; Euphorbiaceae.
GCUUCAUCUCUGUUUUCUAUAAUGCAUGCAAGUAAACUUUUUUCUGACUCAUUGUACGCUAACGUAUAUAUUUUUCUCAAAUUUUCCUAGAGAAACACUCAGAGAUUUAUUCCAAUUGGCAGGUUUACCCUGUCAUUGCGUGCAACAAAUAUUGAAAUCUAAAUAUGCUAUUCCUACAAGGCUACAACCCCUUUGUUGUCCAAACUAUUCUCGCAGUCCUUCCUUAAUGACCCUAUAACCCGGAGAAACCAAUAUUUAAACCAUUCUCAAGCAUGAAAAAUUU